CUUCAGAAAUGGCAGAACAUUUCAUGGGAUGUAAUGAAGAGUUGGAACCAUGUCAGCAUAAAACAGAAGAAAUUAAAACUGAAGGGGAAGAUGAAGAUGAUGAGUUGAUAUUUGUGGGAGAGAUAUCAACUUCCAAACCUGACAUUUCAAAUAUUUUGAACAUACGUCUUCCCAGCUCAUCUAUAAAGGGAAGAAAGAGUGACUUACUCAAUCCAGCUAUUUCUAAUAUAUCCAAGACUACAAAUCAACAGUACAGAAAUCCAUCACCUAAUGCAGUGGUUGCUUUGCCAAGCUUUGAUCCUGAACCAAAAUCUUCAGAGGCUUCUGAUGAUCAGGCUAUGUCU
Psammomys obesus (fat sand rat) is the source of this 344-nucleotide long non-coding RNA. RefSeq lists it as uncharacterized. The transcript has 3 exons. Lineage: Eukaryota; Metazoa; Chordata; Mammalia; Rodentia; Muridae. The record is from RefSeq and is a predicted model, not a curated record.